RNAcentral lists this transfer RNA (95 nucleotides) under Drosophila mulleri. Its description in RNAcentral is "tRNA-Leu". Lineage: Eukaryota; Metazoa; Arthropoda; Insecta; Diptera; Drosophilidae. The record is from RNAcentral.
AUAUUAUUAAUUUAUAAUAUACUAUUUUGGCAGAUUAGUGCAAUAAAUUUAGAAUUUAUGAAUGUAAUAUUAUUUACAAAUAGUACUUGUUUUAU